RNAcentral lists this ribosomal RNA (460 nucleotides) under uncultured bacterium. Its description in RNAcentral is "partial 16S ribosomal RNA". It matches the Rfam family "Bacterial small subunit ribosomal RNA", at positions 338 to 795 of the family's 1533-position model. The record is from RNAcentral.
CCUACGGGUGGCAGCAGUGAGGAAUAUUGGUCAAUGGCCGGAAGGCUGAACCAGCCAUGCCGCGUGAAGGUCAGGGACCUAUGGGCGUUAAACUUCUUUUGUGCGGGAGCAAUAAUGGUCACGUGUGGCCAGACGAGAGUACCGUACGAAUAAGCAUCGGCUAACUCCGUGCCAGCAGCCGCGGUAAUAAGGGGGAUGCAAGCGUUAUCCGGAUUUAUUGGGGUUAAAGGGGUCGUAGGCUGUGAGGUAAGUCAGCGGUGAAAUGCCCCCGCUCAACGGGGUGAAGUGCCAUUGAUACUGCCUUGCUGGAAUGCGGAUGCCGUGGGAGGAAUGUGUGGUGUAGCGGUGAAAUGCAUAGAUAUCACACAGAACACCGAUUGCGAAGGCAUCUCACGAAUCCGCGAUUGACGCUGAUGCACGAAAGCGUGGGUAUCAAACAGGAUUAGAUACCCGUGUAGUC